GAUGAACGCUGGCGGCGUGCUUACACAUGCAAGUCGAACGGGAAAUAUUUCAUUGAGACUUCGGUGGAUUUGAUUUAUUUCUAGUGGCGGACGGGUGAGUAACGCGUGGGUAACCUGCCUUACACUGGGGGACAACAGUUAGAAAUGACUGCUAAUACCGCAUAAGCGCACAGUACCGCAUGGUACAGUGUGAAAAACUCCGGUGGUGUGAGAUGGAUCCGCGUCUGAUUAGCCAGUUGGCGGGGUAACGGCCCACCAAAGCGACGAUCAGUAGCCGGCCUGAGAGGGUGACCGGCCACAUUGGGACUGAGACACGGCCCAAACUCCUACGGGAGGCAGCAGUGGGGAAUAUUGCACAAUGGGCGAAAGCCUGAUGCAGCGACGCCGCGUGAGUGAAGAAGUAUUUCGGUAUGUAAAGCUCUAUCAGCAGGGAAGAUAAUGACGGUACCUGACUAAGAAGCCCCGGCUAACUACGUGCCAGCAGCCGCGGUAAUACGUAGGGGGCAAGCGUUAUCCGGAUUUACUGGGUGUAAAGGGAGCGUAGACGGCAUGGCAAGUCUGAAGUGAAAACCCAGGGCCCAACCCUGGGACUGCUUUGGAAACUGUCAAGCUAGAGUGCAGGAGAGGUAAGUGGAAUUCCUAGUGUAGCGGUGAAAUGCGUAGAUAUUAGGAGGAACACCAGUGGCGAAGGCGGCUUACUGGACUGUAACUGACGUUGAGGCUGAAAGCGUGGGGAGCAA
This 740-nucleotide ribosomal RNA is filed under the name uncultured Lachnospiraceae bacterium. RNAcentral describes it as "bacterial SSU rRNA". It matches the Rfam family "Bacterial small subunit ribosomal RNA", at positions 28 to 771 of the family's 1533-position model. The record is from RNAcentral. Lineage: Bacteria; Bacillati; Bacillota; Clostridia; Lachnospirales; Lachnospiraceae.